UCCGUAGGUGGAUAAUUAAGUCAGAGGUGAAAGUUUGCAGCUCAACUGUAAAAUUGCCUUUGAUACUGGUUAUCUUGAGUUAUUGUGAAGUAGUUAGAAUAUGUAGUGUAGCGGUGAAAUGCAUAGAUAUUACAUAGAAUACCAAUUGCGAAGGCAGAUUACUAACAAUAUACUGACACUGAUGGACGAAAGCGUGGGUCGCGAACAGGAUUAGAUACCCUGGUAGUCC
This 229-nucleotide ribosomal RNA is filed under the name uncultured bacterium. RNAcentral's name for it is "partial 16S ribosomal RNA". It matches the Rfam family "Bacterial small subunit ribosomal RNA", at positions 568 to 796 of the family's 1533-position model. The record is from RNAcentral.